GGUGGGCGUGGCCUCUGGCGGAAGUCGCGGGAGGCGGCUCGCUCUGAAGUCGGAACCUAGCUCGGGAUUGACAGACCCGGCUUUGGCUGAGCAGGACCUGUUGCCUACUUUUUCGGGUUGGUAGAUGGAUUUUAUUGGAGCACAGCCGCGUCCCAGUGUCUGUCCAGCCUGAGGUCCCUGCUGCCGGGCCCAGUGUAGGAACAGCUGGUGGAUCCCUGCUUCACGGGUCGACGUGAUAAUGAGAUCCUGGCCAGAGUCACGUGGGUGUGUGUCAAAUAAAUGAACCUUCAACGAAUAACCAAGCAGCAUCUCAUUUUAUGUGAAGAGACAUGGGAAUCCCGAGAGUCAAAUGGAACGGUGCUACACACAGGGAAUAAAACAAUGAAAUCUAACAUGGAGCUUGGCCUUGGAGAAUUCUCAUUCAGCAUAGACAAGAAUUGAAUAAUCAACACACAAAUGUAAAGUUUCAACUGUAGCAAAUACUGCAGUGGCAAGAGACAGUGAUUUUUCCUUUGUAGGUUUUCUUUAUUUUUAAAAUUUACUGGGCUGGGGAUUUAGCUCAGUGGUUUCACUGCCUGCUAUGCAAGCGCAAGGACCCUUGUUUGAUCCCCAGUACCAAAUAAAUAAAUAAAUAAAAUUUAUUGGGAC
Molecule: long non-coding RNA, 648 nt
Filed under: Heterocephalus glaber (naked mole-rat)
Lineage: Eukaryota; Metazoa; Chordata; Mammalia; Rodentia; Bathyergidae
Description: lncRNA (ENSHGLG00100033742.1)
Source: RNAcentral